This 484-nucleotide ribosomal RNA is filed under the name uncultured bacterium. RNAcentral describes it as "partial 16S ribosomal RNA". It matches the Rfam family "Bacterial small subunit ribosomal RNA", at positions 30 to 507 of the family's 1533-position model. The record is from RNAcentral.
AUUGAACGCUGGCGGCAGGCCUAACACAUGCAAGUCGAGCGGAUGAAGGGAGCUUGCUCCUGGAUUCAGCGGCGGACGGGUGAGUAAUGCCUAGGAAUCUGCCUGGUAGCUUUGUAUAACGUCCGGAAACGGGCGCUAAUACCGCAUUCGUCCUGAGGGAGUAAGGGUGGGAUCUUCGGACCUCCCGCUAUCAGAUGAUCCGAUGUCGGAUUAGCUAGUUGGUGGGGUAAAGGCCUACCAAGGCGACGAUCCGUAACUGGUCUGAGAGGAUGAUCAGUCACACUGGAACUGAGACACGGUCCAGACUCCUACGGGAGGCAGCAGUGGGGAAUAUUGGACAAUGGGCGAAAGCCUGAUCCAGCCAUGCCGCGUGUGUGAAGAAGGUCUUCGGGUUGUAAAGCACUUUUAGUUGGGAGGAAGGGCAGUAAGUUAAUACCUUGCUGUUUUGACGUUACCAAAAGAAUAAGCACCGGCUAACUUCGUG